GACGAACCGAGCGAACGUUGUUCGGAAUCACUGGGCUUAAAGGGCGCGUAGGCGGCCUGAUAAGUAGGGGGUGAAAUCCUGCGGCUUAACCGCAGGGCUGCCUUCUAAACUGUCAGGCUCGAGCACAGUAGAGGCAGGUGGAAUUCCCGGUGUAGCGGUGGAAUGCGUAGAGAUCGGGAAGAACAUCGGUGGCGAAGGCGGCCUGCUGGGCUGUUGCUGACGCUGAGGCGCGACAGCGUGGGGAGCAAACAGG
RNAcentral lists this ribosomal RNA (253 nucleotides) under uncultured bacterium. Its description in RNAcentral is "partial 16S ribosomal RNA". It matches the Rfam family "Bacterial small subunit ribosomal RNA", at positions 524 to 776 of the family's 1533-position model. The record is from RNAcentral.